CCCCAGGUCANGCGGGACUACCCGCUGAGU
RNAcentral lists this ribosomal RNA (30 nucleotides) under Euryops anthemoides. Its description in RNAcentral is "partial 26S ribosomal RNA". Lineage: Eukaryota; Viridiplantae; Streptophyta; Magnoliopsida; Asterales; Asteraceae. The record is from RNAcentral.